This 817-nucleotide ribosomal RNA is filed under the name Multiguttulispora sympodialis. RNAcentral's name for it is "partial large subunit ribosomal RNA". It matches the Rfam family "Eukaryotic large subunit ribosomal RNA", at positions 74 to 920 of the family's 3401-position model. The record is from RNAcentral. Lineage: Eukaryota; Fungi; Ascomycota; Sordariomycetes; Chaetosphaeriales; Chaetosphaeriaceae.
AUUGCCUCAGUAACGGCGAGUGAAGCGGCAACAGCUCAAAUUUGAAAUCUGGCUCCCCGCGGAGUCCGAGUUGUAAUUUGCAGAGGAUGCUUCGGGCGCGGCGCCUUCCAAGUCCGCUGGAACGCGGCACCACAGAGGGUGAGAGUCCCGUAUGGUCGGCCGCCUAGUCCGUGUGAAGCUCCUUCGACGAGUCGAGUAGUUUGGGAAUGCUGCUCUAAACGGGAGGUAGACCCCUUCUAAAGCUAAAUAUAGGCCAGAGACCGAUAGCGCACAAGUAGAGUGAUCGAAAGAUGAAAAGCACUUUGAAAAGAGGGUUAAACAGUACGUGAAAUUGUUGAAAGGGAAGCGCUUGUGACCAGACGUGCGCCGGGCGCUCAGCGGGCGUUCUCGCCCGUGCACUCGCCCCGGCGCAGGCCAGCGUCGGUUCGGGAGGGGGGACAAAGGUGCCAGGAAAGUAGCUCCCCCGGGAGUGUUAUAGCCUGGUGCGCAAUGCCCCCACCCGGACCGAGGUUCGCGCUCUGCAAGGACGCUGGCGUAAUGGUCCCCAGCGGCCCGUCUUGAAACACGGACCAAGGAGUCGAGGUUUUGCGCGAGUGUUUGGGUGUUAAACCCGCACGCGUAAUGAAAGUGAACGCAGGUGGGAGCUUCGGCGCACCACCGACCGAUCCUGAUGUUCUCGGAUGGAUUUGAGUAGGAGCGUAGGGCCUCGGACCCGAAAGAUGGUGAACUAUACUUGGAUAGGGUGAAGCCAGAGGAAACUCUGGUGGAGGCUCGCAGCGGUUCUGACGUGCAAAUCGAUCGUCAAAUCUGAGUAUGG